UGAUGAUGCAUGACGGCAGUGACACUUGGGUGGCGCUUCUUGGUCAACAACAAUAUGCGUUUAUGUAGCGCUUGCGAACAUCAACAAAAAUGGUCCAGAGCCACUGUUUGAGAAAAUAAGCAAUGAGUUCUCCUGUUGUUCUGGUUAGCCUUAAUCGUUAAGUAACAUUUUUUGACUUAUGCCGUGAUACAGCUCCACAGGCAUCAACAGCAAGCUGAUAUCUUGCUCAGGUAUCUAUCUUUCGAAUGUAAACACUGACAGUAUGUUUUGGAAGGCUAUUAAGCCAUUUUAGGGAUCACAGGUUUGCUUGAUCCUGUCAAUCACUAGGUUUUCCUACAGGUACAAUUCAAGCAGAUCAGAAGCACACUUUAUUUUCUUGUGCGUUACUCGAAAUCACAGAAACAAAGAAUAUUGCCCUCCACAACCACAGAGAUCGGGGUCGCCACCAAAGGGUGAACACAGGACCUGGCAUCUUAAUCAGUGACUGCUACAUUGGCGGAGGCAAUGUCGGUGAGGUAGGCCCAGUGGUGAAAGAUGCUGCCUGACGAUUAGCUGCUUGGUCAUUGGUUUGGUCCAGCGCUGGCGCUAGUGGAAGGACAUCACAGCAAUAUUGAUGAAGUGGGCCCAGUAGCAAGAGGUGCAACUUUGAUAUUGGUGGAUUUGGUGUAGGUGAUGGUAAGAUGGUGGUGGAGGAGAAUUGGCACAGUGUCACCUGAAGAGUGACAGCUUCAACAUUGGUUGGGCCCAGUGUUUACGGCAGUGGAGGAGUAAUGGUGGGACAGAUGUCAUUGAUGAUGAGCCAGUCUCUCUCGAUGAUAUUGGACUCUCUUUAAGCAAUACCUUUUUUUUCUAAUUCUUAAAGCUAUUCAAAAUGGUGCCAGAUCUUGGAAACAGUGGAAAAGUUUUUUCCACUUUUUCCCCUCACAGUAAAAUAUAAAUGACAAUAAAAUCAUUCUUUUAUUCACCCAAGUCAUCAGUAUGAAUCACUAUCAUAGAAUCCCUACAGUGUGGGAACAAGCCCUUUGGCCCAACAAGUCUACACCGACCCUCCAACGAGUAUCUCACCCAGACCCAUCCCUCUACCCUUUCCCUGUAUCGCUGCAUUUCCUGUGGCUAACACACUUAAUCUACGCAUCCCAGAACACUCCGGGUAAUUCAGCAUGACCAAUCUACCUGCCCUGCCCAUCUUUGGCCAGGGGGAAGAAACCAGAUCACCCAGUGGAAACCCAUGCAGACGUAGGGAGAAUGUACAAACUCCACACAGACAGUUGCCUGAGGGUGGAAUUGAACGCAGGUCUCCACCCCUGUGAGGCAACAGUGCUAACUACUAUGCUUCCUCUAAAGUUAAAUUACAAGGGCCUGAUAUGGAACGUUGUACUGUGGUUCAUGACUAACAUACACAUGAUGGGCUGAAGACAAAUUUAAUUGUUUUCAUUGUAGCACCUUGGUUAGAUUGUGGAUUAGGAUGCUCAUGAAUUUAGACCCUUUGAAGGGUUAAAGAAACAUCUUAAACCAUCAAAGCAGGGCUAGAAUUCCAAGGUAACAGUUUAACUCCAGGUGCAACUCUUCCUUGAGUUUCCCAAAUAUGCAAAUUUACCAUUAUUAUUUGCUGGAUCACAACAUCUUCACCUUCAACAACCAGUUCUUCAUCGAGACACAUGGAACGGCCAUGGGAACCAGAUUAGCACCCCAAUAUGGCAACAUUUUCAUGCACAGGUUCAGACAAGACUUCUUUGCAGCACAUAACCUCCAAACAACACUAUACAGCAGAUACAGUGACAACAUUUUCUUCCUUUGGACUCAUGGUGAGGAAUUACUGAAGAAAAUACAUUGUGAUAUCAACACGUUUCAUCCCAUCAUCAGAUUUACGGGGGACUACUGUUCAUCGCCAGUCUCAUUCUUGGACUUGCGCAUCUCCAUCAUCAGGUGGACAUCUCACUACCUCACUUUAACAUAGGCCUACGGAUAACCUCACAAUGCCACACUUCUCUAGCUUUCACCCGAAACAACAUAUUAAAACAGCCAUCCCCUACGGACAAGCCCUACACAAUCACAUGACCUGUUCGGAUGAGGUGGAACAGGACAGACAUAUAAAUUUGUUGGAGGAUGCCCUCAUUGGAACAGGAUACAAUGCUCAACUGAUCAAUCACCAGUUCCAACAUGCCACAACAAAAAACCAUAAUGACUUCCUCAGAAGACAGACAUGGAAUACGACCGAUAGGGUACCCUUUGUUGUCCAGUACUUCUGGGAGUGCAGAAACUAUGCUAUGUUCUUCGCAGCCUUCAACAUAAUAUCGAUGAUACUGAGCACCUUGUCAAGAUCUUCCCCAUGACUCCACUUCUCACCUUCAAACAAGCGCCAAACCUUAAACAGAUCAUUGGGCAGUAAACUACCCAGCCUUCAGGACAACAUCAACCACAACACUAUACAACUCUAACCCUAACCCUUUCGUGGCAACCUCUGCAAGACAUGUCAGUUCUUCAACAUGGGCACCUUCACACAUGGAAUACCACUCACAAUGCGCACAGCAGAUAAUGAUGUGACUCGGCCAAAGUUGUCUAGCUCAUAUGCUGCAGGAAAAAAAUUUCCAAGGCAUAGUAUAUUGGCAAAAUCAUGCAGACACUAUGACAACAGAUGAAUGGACACCAUGCAACAAUCUCCAAACAGGAGUGUUUCCUCCCAGUGGAGGAAUACUUCAGUGGUCAAGGACAGUCAGCCUCUAAUCUUCAGGUAAAAGUGCCCCAGAUACACAACAUAGAGUCGCUGAGCAGUGGCUGGUAGCCAAGUUCGGUACCCAUGAGGAUGGCCUCAAACUGGACCUUGGGUUCAUGUCACACUGCAGGUGAGCCCACAACAACACGCACACACAUGACCCUUUGAUUUUUUACCAAAAUUCUGUGUUCCAUGUACUGCUUUAUCACUUCACCUGAUGAAGUGGCUAUGCACC
Stegostoma tigrinum is the source of this 2948-nucleotide long non-coding RNA. RefSeq lists it as uncharacterized. The transcript is spliced from 4 exons. The record is from RefSeq and is a predicted model, not a curated record. NCBI's taxonomy places the organism in Eukaryota, Metazoa, Chordata, Chondrichthyes, Orectolobiformes, Stegostomatidae.